The sequence is a ribosomal RNA, 394 nucleotides long. It matches the Rfam family "Eukaryotic small subunit ribosomal RNA", at positions 582 to 975 of the family's 1831-position model.
AUUCCAGCUCCAAUAGCGUAUAUUAAAGUUGUUGCAGUUAAAAAGCUCGUAGUUGGAUUUCUGGUGGGCUGUCGGCCUGGCUCCGAAAGGGGUCGUGGUUAGUACACGCCUGGCCAUCCUCGGGGGAAGCUUUGCUGGCAUUAAGUUGUCGGCGGAGUGACGCUCGUCGUUUACUGUGAACAAAUUAGAGUGUUCAAAGCAGGCUUAGGCCGUUGAAUACAUUAGCAUGGAAUAAUGAGAUAGGACUUUGGUGGUCUAUUUUGUUGGUUUGCACGCCGAAGUAAUGAUUAAUAGGGGCGGUUGGGGGUAUUCGUAUUCAAUUGUCAGAGGUGAAAUUCUUGGAUUUAUGGAAGACGAACUACUGCGAAAGCAUUUACCAAGGAUGUUUUCAUCA